GCUCCAGUUGUGGUAUCUCAUCGUAUGGGGUGUUGGCAUUGAAGCCAAGCUCCAUGUUAUGCUAUUGAGUUUGGCCUUGUAAUGCCUCAAUCCACUGUUGCUUCUCCUGAAUUAUCCUCUCCACCUUGACAUCCCAAGUAGUAUAUGGAUCCUGGUGUUGAGGAAAGAAGCUGCCAAGGUGGAAUCUUUUCCUAACCAUAG
This 201-nucleotide long non-coding RNA is filed under the name Elaeis guineensis (African oil palm). RNAcentral's name for it is "long non-coding RNA (EGUI_LNC018461)". Lineage: Eukaryota; Viridiplantae; Streptophyta; Magnoliopsida; Arecales; Arecaceae. The record is from RNAcentral.